This 76-nucleotide transfer RNA is filed under the name Actinotignum schaalii. Its description in RNAcentral is "tRNA-Thr". It matches the Rfam family "tRNA". From Rfam's summary of the family: Transfer RNA (tRNA) molecules are approximately 80 nucleotides in length. Their secondary structure includes four short double-helical elements and three loops (D, anti-codon, and T loops). The record is from RNAcentral. Lineage: Bacteria; Bacillati; Actinomycetota; Actinomycetes; Actinomycetales; Actinomycetaceae. RNAcentral also lists the same sequence under 7 other names.
GCCUCCGUAGCUCAGUUGGUAGAGCAGCUGUCUUGUAAACAGCAGGUCACAGGUUCGAGUCCUGCCGGGGGCUCCA